RNAcentral lists this ribosomal RNA (484 nucleotides) under uncultured bacterium. RNAcentral's name for it is "partial 16S ribosomal RNA". It matches the Rfam family "Bacterial small subunit ribosomal RNA", at positions 30 to 507 of the family's 1533-position model. The record is from RNAcentral.
AUUGAACGCUGGCGGCAGGCCUAACACAUGCAAGUCGAGCGGAUGAAGGGAGCUUGCUCCUGGAUUCAGCGGCGGACGGGUGAGUAAUGCCUAGGAAUCUGCCUGGUAGUGGGGGAUAACGUCCGGAAACGGGCGCUAAUACCGCAUACGUCCUUAGGGAGAAAGUGGGGGUUCUUCGGACCUCACGCUAUCAGAUGAGCCUAGGUCGGAUUAGCUAGUUGGUGGGGUAAAGGCCUACCAAGGCGACGAUCCGUAACUGGUCUGAGAGGAUGAUCAGUCACACUGGAACUGAGACACGGUCCAGACUCCUACGGGAGGCAGCAGUGGGGAAUAUUGGACAAUGGGCGAAAGCCUGAUCCAGCCAUGCCGCGUGUGUGAAGAAGGUCUUCGGAUUGUAAAGCACUUUAAGUUGGGAGGAAGGGCAGUAAGUUAAUAACUUGCUGUUUUGACGUUACCAACAGAAUAAGCACCGGCUAACUUCGUG